RNAcentral lists this long non-coding RNA (221 nucleotides) under Mytilus galloprovincialis (Mediterranean mussel). The record is from RNAcentral. Lineage: Eukaryota; Metazoa; Mollusca; Bivalvia; Mytilida; Mytilidae.
GAGGUCUUCUUCAGUGGUGGAAUGUACAGAGUUUAUCCAGGCGAGUCUAGAUUGGUAUUCCGUACGUAAAACCUCCAGCUGCCCAUCAUUUAGGUCAACAUCCCGAUUCCAAAUAUCUUUUACUGAAUGUUGUAAGGACUCUUUAACAUCGGUUCCAUCUAGCUUAAGCCAAAACCGCCCAUUUGGAUUACUUUCAGUAACAGAUUUUACUGCCGGAGUCU